UGGGGAAUUUUGGACAAUGGGCGAAAGCCUGAUCCAGCCAUGUCGCGUGAGUGAAGAAGGCCUUCGGGUUGUAAAUCUCUUUCAGGUGGAAAGAAAACGCCUAGGUUAAUACCUUGUGUGGAUGACGGUACCAUCAGAAGAAGCUCCGGCUAACUACGUGCCAGCAGCCGCGGUAAUACGUCGGGCGCGAGCGUUAAUCGGAAUUACUGGGCGUAAAGCGUGCGCAGGCGGUUAUGUAAGACAGAUGUGAAAUCCCCGGGCUCAACCUGGGAACUGCGUUUGUGACUGCAUAACUAGAGUACGGCAGAGGGGGGUGGAAUUCCGGGUGUAGCAGUGAAAUGCGUAGAUAUGCGGAGGAGCACCGAUGGCGAAGGCAGCGUCCUGGGCCAGUACUGACGCUCAUGCACGAAAGCGUGGGGAGCAAACA
Molecule: ribosomal RNA, 427 nt
Filed under: uncultured bacterium
Lineage: Bacteria
Description: bacterial SSU rRNA
Rfam family: Bacterial small subunit ribosomal RNA
Source: RNAcentral